Molecule: long non-coding RNA, 328 nt
Filed under: Nicotiana benthamiana
Lineage: Eukaryota; Viridiplantae; Streptophyta; Magnoliopsida; Solanales; Solanaceae
Description: long non-coding RNA (NBEN_LNC010124)
Source: RNAcentral
AAGAUGUGACCCUUCCUGAAAUCUACCUUUACAGUGGUGGAGUGUCCCCAAAGCUACAGUCUCCUCCACCGGCCAACAUUUCAAGGCCUUAUCUUGGAUUCUUUGCUGGUGGACUUCAUGGCGAUAUCCGGAAAACCCUAUUCGAACACUGGAAGGGCAAAGACACCGAUCUUCGUGUAUAUGAAUACCUACCUAAAUAUACCUAUUCGAACACUGGAAGGGCAAAGACACUCUUCGUGUAUAUGAAUACCUGCCUAGAGACAUGGAUUAUCCCUCUGAAUUGUUGAGGUCCAGGUUUUGCCUAUGUCCCAGUGGCUAUGAAGUGGCU